UGUUUACUGGGGGGGUGACCCCGCCUCUGCUCCACUAACACCAGGUGUUUCAGUGAUCCUGUUGGAGGCCUGAGGAGAGAGCUAGAUCUCAGAUAACGAUGCAAAACAGCAGGCUCAAGGAGUUCAGGGACCUCUGCUCUCAACACAGCCGAACGUCAACAACAACUGGGUGGGACAAGGCAGAAAUGGAGCAGGUCGACUUCCUCUUCUUGGUGAGGCAGGGGGGAGCACCGAAAGAGGAAGUGAGGCAGUUUCUACUAGUAGAAGUGCAGAUGCUGAGAUGGGGGAUGGAAGGAACUAUUUUCAGCAGGCCCUGAGACACUUCAACUUCCUGACCCUGUUGUUUACAUCUAAGGUAAAGUUGACUGGGAAACCAAAAUGUCAGACGUCAAUGAGAUCUUUGUUCUGUGCAUAAGAGUAGAGGCCUCUGUUUGUGUGUUUACGUGUGUGUGUUGUGUGGGGAGAGAGAGAGAGGUCAGCCAUUUUCAUGUGCCAAGAGGGCAGCACUCUGAAAUGAUUAGCGUGAAAUUAGUGUAACUCUGUUAAAACCCUGGGUUUCUCAGAAGAAAAACGAAAGGAACUUACAGGAAUGAUGUAGGGCCUAACCAGGAUCAAAACACAACACAUGGUUUCCCAUUGAGUGGGGAAAACAGCAAAACAAAGAGAAAAUGCAGUUAUCUGCCAGCCUACUUCAAACACAUAGAACUGUGUGUAGCCUAUAGGCUACGGUUGCAGUGCAGAGUGUGCAUGUGCUUGCCUGACAGUGACAUGGUCACUCAUUGAUCUGAUGUGGGGCUGAGAGAGAAUAAGCUGUGGCUGUGCAGAAGUCAGCAGAAUCUCCCAGAGAAACACAGGGAGUGUAAACGCAGCUGGCUGAAUCAGGGGCUUUGGAGGCCAUCACGUUUGAGGGAGAGAGGGGGAAAUGGCAGAAGGGUCAUGGG
Molecule: long non-coding RNA, 941 nt
Organism: Oncorhynchus tshawytscha (Chinook salmon)
Lineage: Eukaryota; Metazoa; Chordata; Actinopteri; Salmoniformes; Salmonidae
Source: Ensembl